Molecule: ribosomal RNA, 439 nt
Filed under: uncultured Bacteroidales bacterium
Lineage: Bacteria; Pseudomonadati; Bacteroidota; Bacteroidia; Bacteroidales
Description: bacterial SSU rRNA
Rfam family: Bacterial small subunit ribosomal RNA
Source: RNAcentral
CCUACGGGAGGCAGCAGUGAGGAAUAUUGGACAAUGGAUGGAAAUCUGAUCCAGCCAUGCCGCGUGAAGGAAGAAGGUCCUAUGGAUUGUAAACUUCUUUUGUAUGGGAGCAAUAAGGCCUACGUGUAGGCUGAUGAGAGUACCAUACGAAUAAGCACCGGCUAACUCCGUGCCAGCAGCCGCGGUAAUACGGAGGGUGCAAGCGUUAUCCGGAUUUAUUGGGUUUAAAGGGUGCGUAGGCGGUUAUUUAAGUCAGUGGUGAAAGUUUUCGGCUCAACCGGAAAAUUGCCAUUGAUACUGGGUAGCUAGAAUAUGGUUGCUGUGAGUAGAAUGUGUGGUGUAGCGGUGAAAUGCAUAGAUAUCACACAGAAUACCGAUUGCGAAGGCAUCUCACAAAGCCAUCAUUGACGCUGAGGCACGAAAGUGUGGGGAUCAAACA